GACGAGGUGGCCGAGUGGUUAGGGCAAUUGACUAUUAGUCUAUUGGGGUCUCCCCGCGCGAGUUCAAAUCCCAUCCUCGUCG
RNAcentral lists this transfer RNA (82 nucleotides) under Mytilus galloprovincialis (Mediterranean mussel). It matches the Rfam family "tRNA". Rfam says of the family: Transfer RNA (tRNA) molecules are approximately 80 nucleotides in length. Their secondary structure includes four short double-helical elements and three loops (D, anti-codon, and T loops). Lineage: Eukaryota; Metazoa; Mollusca; Bivalvia; Mytilida; Mytilidae. The record is from Rfam by way of RNAcentral.